AUUUAUUUUACUAUUAAAAAUCAGAAAAUAACUAAACUAAAAAAAACUAGAGUAAGACACAUAGUCUAAACUUAAAUCUCCACAAUCACAAAAAAAAAAAUAGAAUACUAUAGUAACACUUGCUCAGUAAAAGUCUGAAACACAAAUGAACGCGGUCAAGCACCAAUCCAAAACACCAAAAAAAGGAUUGAGAAAGAAUAAUCACCGGACCAAAGUCACCACGAAGCAGAAAAACACAUGCAUAAUGCACAACCCCCAGCUAAAAGGUAUGAAUCACCUCACAAACAAAAUAACCACAUACAAGGAGCCCAUGCCAACGAAGAACCACAAAGCUGAAUAGAAGAGACCAAAGCACCAAAAGACUAACUCCACACACCUAUACCAAAGGAAGCAGGAGAAGAAGAAAAGCAACAU
Molecule: long non-coding RNA, 414 nt
Filed under: Brassica napus (rape)
Lineage: Eukaryota; Viridiplantae; Streptophyta; Magnoliopsida; Brassicales; Brassicaceae
Description: long non-coding RNA (BNAP_LNC025769)
Source: RNAcentral